GGACAGAACAAGAGGAAACAGGCUGAAAGGGCUAAGAUUUGAAUUUAGAUACUGAGAAGGAUUUCCCUAUGGUGUGUGAAGCAGAGGCCUGGAGAUCCUAGGAAGGGUUCGUGGGAUGAGCCUCCAGGGCGUUCUGACCUGUGGAAGGAAGGCAGGUGACGUGGAGUCCGGCAUGGAGGCAGGAGACUGGACAACUUGAGCUUUCAGAACCGGCUAUGUAAGAGACACGGAAGCAGUGGAACGGGGUCCUACUACCUGAGGAGGAGAAAGAACUGCGGGUCUCCUUUAGGAGAGAAGUGGGGCAGAUACCCAUGAAUUCCGUUUGUCCGUCUAUUCAACACAGAGGACAGAGUGAGUUUUGUGGGCUGGACGCAGCCUGAGUUUUGCCCCGAGGUGGAGGGAGGAGUGAUCUCUCUGGGUCUCCUUCAGCUCUCAGCGCCAGCACCAUCAUGUCCUGAAGACAGCGGUAAACCAGGGGUCGUGGGGCCCGGGUUUCAGGCCUGGAUCACCCCUCUGGGCCUCACUUUCCUCCUCUUUACACGGAGGGGUUUAAACCGGAUACUUCCAGAGGUCGUGCCCAGCCUUCUACUAUCUUGUUUGGCUCUAAGAUUCAGAAAAUGGCCUGGUCCCAUGCCCGGGGGUCACAGCUCAGCUCCUCCAGGAUGUCCCCUGGACGGGUUCAUCCGCUCCUUGCCUACCCCUGAACCGUCAGGGUGACUCAUCUCAGGAUGGAACCUCUUAAGGAAGGGAUGGCAUGUCAGGGCAGCAGUCUGAGAGGAGGCGGUGCCCGCACAAUGCCUCAGGGGGAGUUGGCACGUGGCCUGGGCUCUGCUGAGAAGCUGCUCCGCACCACCCGCUCCGGGGCAGGCCAGCGACCCCUGCACUGCCCCAGCGCCGCUACCCUGCUCAGCCUCCUGAGGCUCUGACUCCGCCACCAAACCGGCCCCACCACUGCGGGCAAGAGUGGGGCUUGGACUUGGAGUCCCUGCGUGUGAGCCUUUGUCCCCACACCUGUGCCAGGCGCUGACAGUUCCUUCUCUACCACACCCGGGAAGAGUCCCCUACCAGCCGUAAGACCCGCACAGAUGUCCCGGUUGUGCAAGAGAGGGAGGCCGAGCCGUAGGGUAGGAGAAAGAGCGCGAACCAGGAGUGAGGAGACUGGAGGCUCCGCUGUGCCACGGGGGCCUCGGUUUCCUUACCUGUUCAAAGGUGCGUACUAGUGCCUCUUCUACUGAGAGGUACUUACCUGAGGGCUUGUUACCCAGAUGAAGGUAUAGCCACUGCAGAGGACUUUGAAGGAUGAAGGGACCGUUCUGAAAAAAAAAAUUGAGAAAUCCCAAAUAAACACAGGGUGAAAUAAAGAAACGAGAUACUG
This 1375-nucleotide long non-coding RNA is filed under the name Canis lupus dingo (dingo). RNAcentral describes it as "lncRNA (ENSCAFG00020001268.1)". Lineage: Eukaryota; Metazoa; Chordata; Mammalia; Carnivora; Canidae. The record is from RNAcentral.